GAUGACUUAGUAAUAACCCUAAUCUUGUUAAAACUGAAACAACUGCCAAUUUGGAAACAGCUCCAGAAAUUCAACUAGAAAUUGGAAAGCUUUGGGGAAUAUACAGGAUUUGCAGCUGCUAGAAUUUUUGAACUGCAAAGCAGGGAAGUCUAGAUUAUAUUAUUUCACAGUCAGGUUGGUGAUAGAAAUAAUUGGACUCAAAGUUGAUAUUGUUUUUCACCUUAUUUUCUCUUCUUGCUGUUGCUACUAUUUGGACACAAUAUUACAUGUAAAUACCCAUACGAUCAAAAAGAAUUUCAAGAUGGCCCAUCCACAUACUUCAAGCUGUAGACAACUGGGAAACAGGAAUACAGAAGUGGACUUUUUGAUCAAUUUUGGGUGCUUGUUCAAAGGUGAUUUUCAUUUAUUUGUAGUAGUUCUCUCCAUUCCUCUUGGAUGUGGUUAAAAGUACAUGGAUCUCUGAAAAUCUCCUCUCUGCCCAUGUGAAGAAAAGAGUAUUGUUCUUCUGCUAUGUUCAUUUCUUGCUAUCAGACAUCCAUUUAAAAUUGUUAGAGAGGUCAGCAUAAUCGAAGGAAACUCUUCAAAAGCAGGACAUCAAUCACGGAACGUGUGCAUGAAGAAAUGACCUUCAUGUCUGUUUCUUGUUCUAAAUAAUUUCUUCUUGUACAAAUUCUGCAAGGAUCCCGGGUGCGGAACCACACCACCUGUCUGUCAGUGGCCAUGCUGUGGAGGCAGCUCAUGAAAAAGAACUAGAAGGACUUACAACUAGAAGAUAAGACUACGUACUGGGGCUUUGGGAAAAAAAUAAUCAUCUCUGCUGUCUGUGUCACUAAUCCAACCAUGUAAUUGUUUUCACAUUUUGGUUCUGGCUACCAGGUAGGAUUUCCAGAAGAAAAUACAGGAAUUUCAGAUACACAACAAGCACUUUUUUCUGUGUAAAUAUGCCUGAAAUGUUGCACAGCAUACACUUAUUCUGAAUAAAUAUUCAUUUUUUAUUUGAAAAUCUAAUUUAACUGGGCAUCUUUAUCCUGUGAAUUUAUUUGCAAGAUAUAGCAACCUAUUAGCAAGGAACAUGGAAUAGGCUGAAUAAUUCUUUAAAAAGUAGGAAAUACUGAGAAUCAGUAGGCCUAGAUUCUAACUUCAGUUUUGCAAAUAAUCCUGUAAGUCAUUUGGCUUGGCUUUGCUGCCUUUACAUGCACAGUGAAUGAGAAAGAUAAUGUCUGACCUCACUUUUUUCACAGGAACGUUGUUAGAAUGAAUGAGGCGAUGUGCAUAUAAACACAGAGCAUCUUGGAAGAUAAACACUCUAUAAAACUGUGGUAUCAUCAUUAUUAUUAUUGUUAUAUUAUAGAGAGAAUUUCUGGAAAGUCAGCUGGCUGGAUAUAUUAUAGUAAUCUUCUACAAAAGAGCAAAUAAAAACAUCAUUACAAUAUAGAUUUAAUGGCUUUGUCUUCUAUUUUAUUCAGCACAGCAUAAGAUUAUAGAUGUACCAGUUUUCGAUUAACAAUAGUGCAUUGUUUCCUGUUUCCUGUUGCCUUUAUUCCUUCUUAAUCAGAACCUAAUAAGAUGUCUGCUAUUGCACUUACACCUUUCCUUACAUUUCUAAAAAUCACUGAAGCAUAAAUAGUCAGAGAUGCCAGAUUUUUAGAUUAAAUCUUGAGUCUUAUGUGUAUGUGUAUGUAUAUAAAUUAUAUAGUGAAAAAUAUAACUUUGUGCAUUAAUCAUACAGAAUACACCAUGUCUAAUCCUAUGAAGAUUAUGUAAUGGCCCACAUAUUUAACAAAAAUGUCAGCAUGCUAGUUAUGUAACUCAGAUCCUGAUUACUUCUUCAUAUUAUGAAA
RNAcentral lists this long non-coding RNA (1841 nucleotides) under Equus caballus (horse). RNAcentral's name for it is "lncRNA (ENSECAG00000036914.2)". The record is from RNAcentral. Lineage: Eukaryota; Metazoa; Chordata; Mammalia; Perissodactyla; Equidae.